This 376-nucleotide ribosomal RNA is filed under the name uncultured bacterium. RNAcentral describes it as "bacterial SSU rRNA". It matches the Rfam family "Bacterial small subunit ribosomal RNA", at positions 524 to 898 of the family's 1533-position model. The record is from RNAcentral.
GACGUAGGGGGCGAGCGUUGUCCGGAGUUACUGGGCGUAAAGGGCACGCAGGCGGUCUGCCACGUUUGCCAUGACAGUGUCGGGCUUCACCCGACAAGGCGGGCGAAAACGAGCGGACUUGAGACUCAGAGAGGGACCUGGAAUUCCGGGUGGAGUGGUGAAAUGCGUAGAUAUCCGGAGGAAGACCGAAGGCGAAGGCAGGGUCCUGGCUGAGGGCUGACGCUGAGGUGCGAAAGCCAGGGGAGCGAACAGGAUUAGAUACCCUGGUAGUCCUGGCUGUAAACGAUGACCACUAGAUGUGCGGGGUAUCGACCCCCUGCGUGUCGGAGGUAACCUUUUAAGUGGUCCGCCUGGGGAGUACGGUCGCAAGAUUAAA